RNAcentral lists this ribosomal RNA (621 nucleotides) under Leotiomycetes sp. A534. Its description in RNAcentral is "SSU rRNA". It matches the Rfam family "Eukaryotic small subunit ribosomal RNA", at positions 200 to 828 of the family's 1831-position model. The record is from RNAcentral. Lineage: Eukaryota; Fungi; Ascomycota; Leotiomycetes.
GAUGUAUUUAUUAGAUAAAAAACCAAUGCCCUUCGGGGCUCCUUGGUGAUUCAUAAUAACUUAACGAAUCGCAUGGCCUUGUGCCGGCGAUGGUUCAUUCAAAUUUCUGCCCUAUCAACUUUCGAUGGUAGGAUAGUGGCCUACCAUGGUUUCAACGGGUAACGGGGAAUUAGGGUUCUAUUCCGGAGAGGGAGCCUGAGAAACGGCUACCACAUCCAAGGAAGGCAGCAGGCGCGCAAAUUACCCAAUCCCGACACGGGGAGGUAGUGACAAUAAAUACUGAUACAGGGCUCUUUUGGGUCUUGUAAUUGGAAUGAGUACAAUUUAAAUCCCUUAACGAGGAACAAUUGGAGGGCAAGUCUGGUGCCAGCAGCCGCGGUAAUUCCAGCUCCAAUAGCGUAUAUUAAAGUUGUUGCAGUUAAAAAGCUCGUAGUUGAACCUUGGGCCUGGCUGGCCGGUCCGCCUCACCGCGUGCACUGGUCCGGCCGGGCCUUUCCUUCUGUGGAGCCGCAUGCCCUUCACUGGGUGUGUCGGGGAAACAGGACUUUUACUUUGAAAAAAUUAGAGUGUUCAAAGCAGGCCUAUGCUCGAAUACAUUAGCAUGGAAUAAUAGAAUAGGAC